CUGGGGUUCGGGUCGGCGGUUUGCCGCUCUGCGGCUACUGCCGUGCUCGACUCUUACUAGCUGGUGCGUCUCGCGGUUCUCUUAACUGAGUGCCACGAGAGCCUAGCAUGUUUACUUUGAAAAAAUUAGAGUGCUCAAAGCAGGCGUCUACGCCUGAAUAGUGUUGCAUGGAAUAAUGGAAUAGGACCUCGGUUCUAUUUUGUUGGUUUUCGGAACUUGAGGUAAUGAUUAAGAGGGACGGUCGGGGGCAUUCGUAUUUCGGUGUUAGAGGUGAAAUUC
This is a ribosomal RNA of 279 nucleotides. The stretch from base 98 to 279 matches the Rfam family "Eukaryotic small subunit ribosomal RNA", at positions 738 to 919 of the family's 1831-position model.